Molecule: long non-coding RNA, 467 nt
Organism: Zingiber officinale
Lineage: Eukaryota; Viridiplantae; Streptophyta; Magnoliopsida; Zingiberales; Zingiberaceae
Exons: 3
Source: RefSeq, a predicted model, not a curated record
UCUCUGCUUCUCGGCAGCACUGUUGGAGCUCCUCGGAGUUCGCCGGAGCUCACCAAACCACCGGGAAAAGAGAGGAAACAAAACCCUAGUUGCUCUCUCCUUUUUCCCCCACCAACAGCAGCAUUUUUGCUGCCUUUUGUUUCCUCCAACAGCAGCUAGGCUGCUGUCCUUUUUCUUGGCAUCAUCGUCGGAGUUCGCCGGAGCUUGCCGCAGCUUGCCGGAGUUGCCAACAAAGAACCUUAAUUGCUGCCCUUAUUUCCAGCAGCCACAGAAAAAUCCUUAGAAGAUACGAGCUCGAGUGGAGCGCGGUGACCUGCCGACACGCGCAGAUUUUGCUGUACAUAAGUUUUGCAGACACAGGGAUCCUUGUGAUAUUAUAGUUGAUUUUGGACUUUCAUAGAGUUGCUCAGAGAUCUCGACGUGCUGAUUUUCUGGUUUGUUUUUACUUUUGUUUUGCUGUAUUUACA